Molecule: long non-coding RNA, 1227 nt
Organism: Felis catus (domestic cat)
Lineage: Eukaryota; Metazoa; Chordata; Mammalia; Carnivora; Felidae
Exons: 4
Source: RefSeq, a predicted model, not a curated record
ACUGAACCAAUCUCUGUGGCUGGGCUUUUGUGACCUCACUUGGCCUCUAAGGGUGCGCUGAUCUCCCAGAGGGAGAAACAUUUUAUCCUCGGCGUGGCCUACAUGGUUGAUAUGUUUGGAGAGAGAGAUUAUGAAGCAAAGAUGAAAAACUCUACCUAUUUCAAAAGUUGCUGACCCGCCAUCCAUCUGUGCUCUCCCAGGACAGUGAGAAAAAGGUUGACUGGAAUUGAUCCAGAAGAGCCCUGCCUGAGGCUUCCAGGCUGUGAGCUCCACGAAUCGGAAGGGGAAUCAUCCCACUUCCAGGCACGUCAGCAAAGUAUGUCUCAACCCCUGAUGGUGGCUGGUUGGUUAAUCUGCUCCCAGAACCGGGAGGAUUAGAGGAAGUGUUGCCAGGUCAGAGGUAAACAUUCUGGAGGCCCCGUCAAGAAGGCCUUACUGAGGUCACCUUGUGCAGCUCCUGAGAUCGGCCAUGCCCAGCGGGUGGGGAGCAGUGGUCGACGGUCGAAGGGCUUCAGAGCAGGACCAUCUGCUUUUCCUGCUCCCUGGCUUUCAGCCGCUCUGUUCCACCUGGAACUCAUCCACAGGGCGCUGUGGGAAAGGACUGAGCAUCAGAAGACCUGAACCUGGUCUCGACUCUGGGGCUGCCCAUCCUUCACACCCCAGUUCUGUCUCUGGAUCUAUGAAGAGCAUCUCCUGUCCUUCCCACCUACAGGAUCAUUAGGGAAUCAAAGAAGACGAUGUGUUAAGGGACUUUACACCUGCAUCACGUGAAACCGGGCAGACAGGUUAUUAUUACCUGCAUUUUAAAGAGAACUUUCAGGUUUUGAGUUUUAAAAUGGUUUCAUUAAGUCUAAUGAUGGCCAAAUGGCCCAUGGGAAGGAAAGAAACAUGGGGACACCAGGACUGUCCAGCCCCAUCAAGUGGCACCAUACGAAUAGGCACAGGUCCUUAGUAAGUCUUUCUACCUUCUGUGUCCCUCUGGGUCAGCGCUGCAGGAGGUGGGAAAGGGCAAGACCAGACUUGUGCUGGGAAAGAGAGAGGCAGGUGGGGAGGUCGCCACAGUGUCUGGCUGGGGGCAGGAUGCUCCUUGGGGCCCAGCCAGCCUCUGGGUCACUUCACAAAAGGUCACUGCACCUGCAUGGAGAAUUUUCCAGCUAUUAACAAAGCCACCGAGGCAGUGCGUCGGUAAAGCUCAGCCUCUAAUCCCCAAUUAAGGCACCGGGUCUU